RNAcentral lists this ribosomal RNA (425 nucleotides) under uncultured bacterium. RNAcentral's name for it is "bacterial SSU rRNA". It matches the Rfam family "Bacterial small subunit ribosomal RNA", at positions 354 to 796 of the family's 1533-position model. The record is from RNAcentral.
GUUAGGAAUAUUGGACAAUGGGCGAAAGCCUGAUCCAGCCAUGCCGCGUGAACGAUGAAGGCCUUCGGGUUGUAAAGUUCUUUAGCCGAUGAUUAUAAUGACUGUAGUCGGAAAAUAAGCCCCGGCUAACUUCGUGCCAGCAGCCGCGGUAAUACGAAGGGGGCGAGCGUUAUUCGGAAUCACUGGGCGUAAAGCGUGCGUAGGCGGUUUUGUAAGUUGGGAGUGAAAGCCCAGGGCUCAACCCUGGAAUUGCUCUCAAAACUGCAAGGCUCGAAUUCGGGAGAGGAUAGCGGAAUUGUCAGUGUAGCAGUGAAAUGCGUAGAUAUUGACAGGAACACCAGUGGCGUAAGCGGCUAUCUGGACCGAUAUUGACGCUGAGGCACGAAAGCGUGGGGAUCAAACAGGAUUAGAUACCCGAGUAGUCC